RNAcentral lists this ribosomal RNA (416 nucleotides) under uncultured bacterium. Its description in RNAcentral is "bacterial SSU rRNA". It matches the Rfam family "Bacterial small subunit ribosomal RNA", at positions 945 to 1359 of the family's 1533-position model. The record is from RNAcentral.
AUUAAUUCGAUGCAACGCGAAGAACCUUACCAAGGCUUGACAUGUUCUCGAUCGCCGUAGAGAUACGGUUUCCCCUUUGGGGCGGGUUCACAGGUGGUGCAUGGUUGUCGUCAGCUCGUGUCGUGAGAUGUUGGGUUAAGUCCCGCAGCGAGCGCAACCCUCGUUCCAUGUUGCCAGCACGUCGUGGUGGGGACUCAUGGGAGACUGCCGGGGUCAACUCGGAGGAAGGUGAGGACGACGUCAAAUCAUCAUGCCCCUUAUGUCUUGGGCUUCACGCAUGCUACAAUGGCCGGUACAAUGGGUUGCGAUACUGUGAGGUGGAGCUAAUCCCAAAAAGCCGGUCUCAGUUCGGAUUGGGGUCUGCAACUCGACCCCAUGAAGUCGGAGUCGCUAGUAAUCGCAGAUCAGCAACGCUG